RNAcentral lists this ribosomal RNA (437 nucleotides) under uncultured bacterium. Its description in RNAcentral is "partial 16S ribosomal RNA". It matches the Rfam family "Bacterial small subunit ribosomal RNA", at positions 355 to 784 of the family's 1533-position model. The record is from RNAcentral.
UAGGGAAUCUUCCACAAUGGACGCAAGUCUGAUGGAGCAACGCCGCGUGAGUGAAGAAGGCUUUCGGGUCGUAAAACUCUGUUAUUGAAGAAGAACGUGCGUGACAGUAACUGGUCAUGCAGUGACGGUAUUCAAUCAGAAAGUCACGGCUAACUACGUGCCAGCAGCCGCGGUAAUACGUAGGUGGCAAGCGUUGUCCGGAUUUAUUGGGCGUAAAGCGAGUGCAGGCGGUCUUUUAAGUCUGAUGUGAAAGCCUUCGGCUUAACCGAAGAAGGGCAUCGGAAACUGGGAGACUUGAGUGCAGAAGAGGAGAGUGGAACUCCAUGUGUAGCGGUGAAAUGCGUAGAUAUAUGGAAGAACACCAGUGGCGAAGGCGGCUCUCUGGUCUGUAACUGACGCUGAGGCUCGAAAGCGUGGGUAGCAAACAGGAUUAGAUA